CCUACUUCCUCCUGUAAGUUGCUCUGGAUAAGAGCGUCUGCUAAAUGGCUAAAA
Molecule: non-coding RNA, 54 nt
Organism: Salmo salar (Atlantic salmon)
Lineage: Eukaryota; Metazoa; Chordata; Actinopteri; Salmoniformes; Salmonidae
Source: Rfam